Molecule: non-coding RNA, 26 nt
Filed under: Rattus norvegicus (Norway rat)
Lineage: Eukaryota; Metazoa; Chordata; Mammalia; Rodentia; Muridae
Source: RNAcentral
UGAGAAUCGUGAAGGGAGCAGGUGUC